RNAcentral lists this ribosomal RNA (447 nucleotides) under uncultured bacterium. RNAcentral's name for it is "bacterial SSU rRNA". It matches the Rfam family "Bacterial small subunit ribosomal RNA", at positions 355 to 825 of the family's 1533-position model. The record is from RNAcentral.
UGGGGAAUAUUGCGCAAUGGGCGCAAGCCUGAUCCAGCCAUGCCGCGUGGAUGAUGAAGGCCUUAGGGUUGUAAAAUCCUUUCGUGGGGGACGAUAAUGACGGUACCCCAAGAAGAAGCUCCGGCUAACUUCGUGCCAGCAGCCGCGGUAAUACGAAGGGGGCUAGCGUUGUUCGGAUUUACUGGGCGUAAAGCGCGUGUAGGCGGGUCGUUAAGUUGGGGGUGAAAUCCCGGGGCUCAACCUCGGAACUGCCCUUGAUACUGCAAAUCUCGAGUCCGAUAGAGGUGAGUGGAAUUCCUAGUGUAGAGGUGAAAUUCGUAGAUAUUAGGAAGAACACCAGUGGCGAAGGCGGCUCACUGGAUCGGUACUGACGCUGAGGUGCGAAAGCGUGGGGAGCAAACAGGAUUAGAUACCCCCGUAGUCCCUGAGCGGGCUGGCAAGGCGCAU